RNAcentral lists this ribosomal RNA (434 nucleotides) under uncultured Lachnospiraceae bacterium. RNAcentral's name for it is "bacterial SSU rRNA". It matches the Rfam family "Bacterial small subunit ribosomal RNA", at positions 341 to 792 of the family's 1533-position model. Lineage: Bacteria; Bacillati; Bacillota; Clostridia; Lachnospirales; Lachnospiraceae. The record is from RNAcentral.
ACGGAAGGCAGCAGUGGGGAAUAUUGCACAAUGGGGGAAACCCUGAUGCAGCGACGCUGCGUGAGUGAAGAAGUAUUUCGGUAUGUAAAGCUCUAUCAGCAGGGAAGAAAAUGACGGUACCUGACUAAGAAGCCCCGGCUAACUACGUGCCAGCAGCCGCGGUAAUACGUAGGGGGCAAGCGUUAUCCGGAUUUACUGGGUGUAAAGGGAGCGUAGACGGUUCUGCAAGUCUGAUGUGAAAGGCAGGGGCUCAACUCCUGGACUGCAUUGGAAACUGUAGAACUAGAGUGCCGGAGAGGUAAGCGGAAUUCCUAGUGUAGCGGUGAAAUGCGUAGAUAUUAGGAGGAACACCAGUGGCGAAGGCGGCUUACUGGACGGUAACUGACGUUGAGGCUCGAAAGCGUGGGGAGCAAACAGGAUUAGAUACCCUGGUA